CUGCAUGGUUGUCGUCAGCUCGUGCCGUGAGGUGUCGGGUUAAGUCCCAUAACGAGCGCAACCCUACUCAUUAGUUGCCAUCAGGUCAAGCUGGGGACUCUAAUGAAACUGCCUACGCAAGUAGUGAGGAAGGUGGGGGUGACGUCAAAUCAGCACGGCCCUUACGUCCAGGGCUACACACGUGCUACAAUGGCCGGUACAAAGGGCAGCUACCUGGUGACAGGAUGCUAAUCUCAAAAGCCGGUCUCAGUUCGGAUCGGAGUCUGCAACCCGACUCCGUGAAGCUGGAACCGCUAGUAAUCGCGCAUCAGCCAUGGCGCGGUGAAUACGUUCCCGGGCCUU
This 342-nucleotide ribosomal RNA is filed under the name uncultured Sphingobacteriales bacterium. RNAcentral's name for it is "bacterial SSU rRNA". It matches the Rfam family "Bacterial small subunit ribosomal RNA", at positions 1041 to 1382 of the family's 1533-position model. Lineage: Bacteria; Pseudomonadati; Bacteroidota; Sphingobacteriia; Sphingobacteriales. The record is from RNAcentral.